Molecule: ribosomal RNA, 349 nt
Filed under: Colossoma macropomum (tambaqui)
Lineage: Eukaryota; Metazoa; Chordata; Actinopteri; Characiformes; Serrasalmidae
Description: partial 12S ribosomal RNA
Rfam family: Bacterial small subunit ribosomal RNA
Source: RNAcentral
UGUAAAACAUACAAAUAACAUCCGCCAGGGUACUACAGGCGCUAGCUUAAAACCCAAAGGACUUGACGGUGUCUCAGACCCGCCUAGAGGAGCCUGUUCUAGAACCGAUAAUCCCCGUUAAACCUCACCAUCCCUUGUUUUCCCCGCCUAUAUACCGCCGUCGCAAGCUUACCCUGUGAAGGAUCUACAGUAAGCGAAAUGGGUAGACCCCAGAACGUCAGGUCGAGGUGUAGCUCACGGGAUGGAAAGAAAUGGGCUACAUUUUCUAAAACAGAAUAUCACGAACGGUACCAUGAAACUGGUGCCCAAAGGUGGAUUUAGUAGUAAAAAACAAACAGAGCGUGUUUUU